CAAAUACACAGUUUUUUUGCUAUUCGAAUCAGUUAGUUCACUCUAGUUUUUAUGCGGUUCCUGCGCUAGCAGAAACUCCUAGCAGACUGCGCAGUAGACUAGGAGGAAAAUGUUGCUGUUGCAAGAUUUAAAAUAUUCCGAAAGCUGAAAAUUAAAUUCAUAAAUGGUAAAAUCCUUUAUGUACACACUUUAUAAAAUUUGAAAAAUAAUAUUUUCUAAUUAUUGAUUGAAUAUAUUCAAACAAUUAACACAACUCUCUCAAUUGAUGACAUUUGGCAACAGUGAGUAGACUUGUAUUCCAAACUCCAAACCAAACAUAACCACAUAACCUUAUAAAAAUUUCAGUUGUUAAAAAUGUUAAAUGAGUUAUUUAUUAUUGUUUUCUUAUAUUUUGCAAUUGUUAAGUUGGUUUACUUCGAAUUUAAUAGGCAUUAUUUACCAAAGAAUAUGCAUUACUUUGGUAUCUCUCCAGUUUUCUACAAGAAGUUUGGUGAUUUUGAAUUGGGAUUAUGAUGAAUUCAACCCAAAGGAAAUAAUGUGUACUAAUAUUUGAUGUGGAAAAAUUCCAGACACCAUAAAAAGUUGAGUUUCUUCCUGUUCCCAUGGAUGAAAAUGGGUUUGCAGAAUGAAAAGAAAUUGUUCAAUGUAAUAAACUUUCUAUGAACAGUCCUCAAUAUUGUUACAUUAACUUUGAAAUAUGCACUUUACAUUCUGAGGAGCAGGCCUUUGCAGAAAUGCUGAAAUGCCGUUGAAAAACAAUGCAAAAUAAAAUAAACAAAAUACAUCUUGAGAUUAAACAUUCCAGUUGAAGGUGUGUUCUUUCGUAAACUGGAAUGAUAAUUUUGUAAUUCUGUAGGCACAUCUAUUGAGAAGUUACAACCAGUGGCAAAGUGCCUCAAGGGAAUCUAUGUAUGAUAUUAUAAUUGGAGGGACAUCUCAUCUGAAGGAAUUACAAUUAUUUGCCAGUAUGCCAAAUGAAUUUUCAACAUCAAUCAUACUUUCGUGAAUUUAUUGAUGAAAAUAAAACUAGGUACAUGAUUUAUUAUUUACUUCCAAGGGAUUCUAAGAUACUAUGUGUAAAAAGUCCAAUAUGCAGUGAUGAGCGUGCUAAUAACCCGCAAAAUAUGGGAUAUAACGCUAAAGAUGGGAAACAUGGGAUGCUGUCUGAAGUAAAAAGAGAUGAAACUUCUAGAGGUGGAAAUUAUCGAUAUAAACAUAUAAAUUAAUAUAUAUUACAUAGUUUAUUAUUAUAUAUAUAUUACAUAGUUUCCCACCUUUAGACGUAUCAGAUGAGUAUGACAACUGUCACUAUGACAGGAGAAUUUUAUAAAAUACUCCUGUCACGGACGUCUAAAGGUGGGAAACUAUGUAAUGUUAUUGUUGACUAAGAGUGUUAACCUGCUAACUCCAUUUUUCACUGUGAGUGAUAUUGGGGUAGUUUCUAGGUCUGUGUACCUUCAUACGCUGUCCCACAAGCCCGCUGGUUCCACUGUAGUUUAGAGAUAGUUAUUUCUAAACUACAUUGGUGUCAGCGGGUUUGUGGGGUGGUGUAUGAAAGUACACAGACCCAGAAACCAGCCCAAUAUCACUCAAAGUGAAAAAUGGAGUCAGCAGGUUAAAACUCUUAUCUGAUGUUAUGUUAAUUUAUUCGUUUAUAACGAUAAUUUCCACUUCUACCAGUUUCAUCUUUUUUUAUCUCACAAGUUAAUGUUUUCCAUCUUUUUCCAUCUGUUCUCCAUGAAAUUUAUGAGUUCAUUUUUUGUACCUAUUAAACUUUAUUUUAAGGAUGAAUUUGAAAUGCAUUUAGGGAAUA
Molecule: long non-coding RNA, 1813 nt
Organism: Diabrotica virgifera virgifera (western corn rootworm)
Lineage: Eukaryota; Metazoa; Arthropoda; Insecta; Coleoptera; Chrysomelidae
Exons: 4
Source: RefSeq, a predicted model, not a curated record